CUUGGUCAUUUAGAGGAAGUAAAAGUCGUAACAAGGUUUCCGUAGGUGAACCUGCGGAAGGAUCAUUAUUGAAAUAAACCUGAUGAGCUGCUGCUGGUUCUCUAGGGAACAUGUGCACGCUUGUCAUCUUUAUAUCUUCACCUGUGCACCUUUGUAGACCUGAAUAUCUUUCUGAGUGCUCUUUAAAGGCAUUCAGGUUUUGAGGAUUGACUUUUCCUGUCAUUCUCUUACAUUUUCAGGCCUAUGUUUCUUCACAUACCCAAUGCAUGUUAUAGAAUGUAGUCAUUAGGUGUUAAAGCCUUAUAAAUCUAUACAACUUUCAGCAACGGAUCUCUUGGCUCUCGCGUCGAUGAAGAACGCAGCGAAAUGCGAUAAGUAAUGUGAAUUGCAGAAUUCAGUGAAUCAUCGAAUCUUUGAACGCACCUUGCGCUCCUUGGUAUUCUGAGGAGCAUGCCUGUUUGAGUGUCAUUAAUAUAUCAAUCUCUUCAGCUUUUGCUUGUUGAGUUUUUGGAUGUGGGGGUUUUUGCUGGCCUCUUUUCUGAGGUUGGCUCUCCUAAAAUGCAUUAGCGGAACAACUAGCUGACCGUUCAUUGGUGUGAUAACUAUCUACGCUAGGAAUGGGAAGCAUGUUUAGCUUACAACAGUCCAUUGGCUUGGACAAAUUUUUAUUAAUGUGACCUCAAAUCAGGUAGGACUACCCGCUGAACUUAAGCAUAUCAAUAAGCGGAGGAAAAGAAACUAACAAGGAUUCCCCUAGUAACUGCGAGUGAAGCGGGAAAAGCUCAAAUUUAAAAUCUGGCGGUCUCUGGCUGUCCGAGUUGUAAUCUAGAGAAGUGCCAUCGGCGCUGGACCGUGUACAAGUCUCCUGGAAUGGAGCGUCAUAGAGGGUGAGAAUCCCGUCUUUGACACGGACUACCAGGGCUUUUGUGAUGCGCUCUCAAAGAGUCGAGUUGUUUGGGAAUGCAGCUCAAAAUGGGUGGUAAAUUCCAUCUAAAGCUAAAUAUUGGCGAGAGACCGAUAGCGAACAAGUACCGUGAGGGAAAGAUGAAAAGAACUUUGGAAAGAGAGUUAAACAGUACGUGAAAUUGCUGAAAGGGAAACGCUUGAAGUCAGUCGCGUUGUCCAGGGAUCAACCUUGCUUUUGCCAGGUGCACUUCCUGUUCGACGGGUCAGUAUCAAUUUUGAUCAUUGGAAAAAGAUUUAGGGGAAUGUGACAUCUUUGGAUGUGUUUAUAGCCUCUAGUUGCAUACAGUGGUUGGGAUUGAGGAACUCAGCACGCCGCAAGGCCGGGUUUUUUAACCACGUACGUGCUUAGGAUACUGGCAAAAUGGCUUUAAUCGACCCGUCUUGAAACACGGACC
RNAcentral lists this ribosomal RNA (1361 nucleotides) under uncultured fungus. RNAcentral's name for it is "eukaryotic LSU rRNA". The stretch from base 675 to 1361 matches the Rfam family "Eukaryotic large subunit ribosomal RNA", at positions 1 to 667 of the family's 3401-position model. The record is from RNAcentral. Lineage: Eukaryota; Fungi.